This is a long non-coding RNA of Gallus gallus (chicken), 1187 nucleotides long. The record is from Ensembl. Lineage: Eukaryota; Metazoa; Chordata; Aves; Galliformes; Phasianidae.
GUGGAAGUAGAUAAAUAACAUGGAGAGCACCCCAGUCACCUGGGCUGUUCUUUUUGUCCUGCCCAGCAGCUGCUCAGGACAUGGAGCAGAGCAGAGGUUUGUUGCUACAUCACCGAGCCUGGCUCAGCGGUGCCCUGGUCCUGGGUUUCCAGACAGAGCAGAUAACAAAUGCUAAAGAUGGGGUGGUCAAUUCCAGCACUGCCACUCUGCUGCUUCCACCAGGCUAAGCUUCAUCUGGGCAAUGGAAAAAGCCAGAGAGAUUUUCUGGCAAGCAUCACGGGAGGAACAACUUGUGCACAGAAGCCCAGGUGCCCUGGGAUCUCGUCAAGAGCUGUUAUAAAAGGAAGGGUGCUACCUCCAUGCUGCAUGAGCUGUGCCACGAUCCUGCUCCUGCUUGCCCAGAGCAGGCACCUGUCCCAAAUGCUUCUCUUUUGACUCACACACCAGGUUCUGCUCCCAGUGAGAGCAAAGCACCAACAUCGAGGUGGGGACAGACAGAGGUUGUCAUAGUCAGUUCAGUCGUUCCUGAGCCUCACUGCCAACAUGGAGGGGAUUCACACUACGCAGGGACUGGGAUGGUUCUGGGCACACCUUUGAGUUUGAGAUUUUGGAAGCCAUCAGAGCAACUGCUGACAUUUGAACCUGACCAAUGCAGAACGGAAAGUGGGAAGUGGCAGCAGAUCCCACAGAAUGUGGGGAGAGCCUCCUUUGAGUACUGAAUCAAAAGCAGAACAAGAAACCAGGCAAGUACUACGACAACUAUAGGCUGCCAUGAGAGCCUUCCCCAGCACAUCACCCAACUGGAAGAAAAAUUUGGCAUGGUCCUGCGUUCCCUGUCUUCUUAUGGUCACAGAAAGCGAUCCAGUUUAAAACAGGCACAGUGAACGUGUGCAUUAUUAUCCAGCAGGGGGAGCCGUGGAUACUGUUUUACUGUUCCCAGAGAAAAUACCAGGAAUGGAGAAAUUAAUAGGCACUAUCUAACGUGAAACAAAGGUAGGCGCCAGUCUUGCUGCUGCUGCAUCCUGGUGGCUCUGCCAGCUGGAUAUGUGGUGCCCAGAUUGCUUGUCAGAAAGUCUUAGAUGUGAAAGUAAGUGAAAGAUGUGAUGCAGACAGCUUUCCUACCAACUGAUCAAAAAGCCCUGAACAGACCUGCUUUGGAAACAGCAAGAGAAGUGCUGCGUAAAGCU